This 429-nucleotide ribosomal RNA is filed under the name Bacteroidota bacterium. RNAcentral's name for it is "Bacteroidetes bacterium partial 16S ribosomal RNA". It matches the Rfam family "Bacterial small subunit ribosomal RNA", at positions 355 to 776 of the family's 1533-position model. The record is from RNAcentral. Lineage: Bacteria; Pseudomonadati; Bacteroidota.
UAGGGAAUCUUCGGCAAUGGGGGGAACCCUGACCGAGCAACGCCGCGUGAGUGAAGAAGGUUUUCGGAUCGUAAAGCUCUGUUGUUAAGGAAGAACGAGUGUGAGAAUGGAAAGUUCAUACUGUGACGGUACUUAACCAGAAAGGGACGGCUAACUACGUGCCAGCAGCCGCGGUAAUACGUAGGUCCCGAGCGUUGUCCGGAUUUAUUGGGCGUAAAGCGAGCGCAGGCGGUUAGAAAAGUCUGAAGUGAAAGGCAGUGGCUCAACCAUUGUAGGCUUUGGAAACUGUUUAACUUGAGUGCAGAAGGGGAGAGUGGAAUUCCAUGUGUAGCGGUGAAAUGCGUAGAUAUAUGGAGGAACACCGGUGGCGAAAGCGGCUCUCUGGUCUGUAACUGACGCUGAGGCUCGAAAGAGUGGGGAGCGAACAGG